AUGGGGGGACAGCCCCAAAAAGGAGAGGAUUUGCCCACAGCAGCGUGUGAUCUGACCAAAAUCCCACCCAAAGCAGGGAUCCCAAUCCCAAGGGUGAUGCUCCUUCCCCUCAUCAGGCUCCCCUCCAUCCCAGCAGCUCCCUCCCCAAGGAGGAGGUGGCAGGGAGCGAGGUCCCUGAAGGGAGAGGUGAGGUCUCCAGUCUCUCCUGGAGAAGGAGAAGGCUCCCAGGGCCAGCUCCUCACGGGCUCAGCUCCGUGUCUGGUCACAAAGCCAGGAAGACCAGGGGCUCAGGGUUGUUUUUCUGCUCCCUCUCCGUUUUCCUGUGCAGAUGAUAAGGCAGGAAGAGACAGGGUGGAACCCUCCUGCUGGGGCAUCCUGGACAUUUCACAGCCAGGACUCCCUCCAGCCACCCGGGUCAGCCAGCUCCUCGGCCUCACACCCACAGGAGGACUCUCCUGGGGGUGUUGGUGGACAGUCGGCUGAAGAUGAGCCAGCAGUGUGCCCAGGUGGCCAAGGUGGCCACCAGCAUCCUGGCCUGUAUCAGGAGCAGUGUGGGGAGUAGGGCCCCAGAGGUGAUUGUCCCCCUGGACUGGGCACUGGUGAGGCCUCACCUCAAGUGCUGUGUCCAGUUUUGGGCCCCCCACCAUAAAAAAGACAUUGAGGGGCUGGAGCUGAGGGGAGACCUUCUUGCUCUCUCCAACUCCCUGAAAGGAGGGUGUAGAGAGGUGGGGGUCGGGCUCUGCUCUCAAGUCCCAGGCGACAGGACAAGAGGAAAUGGCCUCAAGUUGCCCCAGGGGAGGUUCAGGCUGGAGAUUAGGAACAAUUUUUUUCCCUGAAAGGGUUCUCAGCCCUUGGAAUGGGCUGCCCAGGGAGAGGGUUGAGGCCCCAUCCCUGGAGGUGUUCAAAAGCCGGGUUGAUGUGGUGCUGGGAGGGAUGGUUUAGUGAUGAUGCUCCUUGUUUGUUGUGGGGGUGUCUAUUUUUGUCAGUUGGGUUGACGGUUGGACAAGAUGAUCUUGAAGGUCCCUUCCAACCUAGAAGAUUCUGUGAUGCUGUGACCCUCCCUCCCAUCUGAAGGACGGGGAACCGCCGGAGAAGGAACCUGUUAUCCAACCUAGAAGAUCCUGUGAUUCUGUGACCCUCCCUCCCAGGUGAAGGAUGGGGAACCACCGGAGAGGGAACUUGUUACGACUCCCAAGGAGAUUCCCUGCCCCUAAUCCCAACCCUCUGAGCUCUCCCUUUCACCUUUCACGAGUGUUUUUUCUCUCCCAGCUCUUGGUUGUAGACCCCAUCGCGUUCCUCACCCUCUCCCUGGGUGAUAUCAGGGAAGAGGCUGAGGAACAGGUGAAAUACAUGGAUUUAUCUGAUGGAGGUAGAGGAGAGAAGCCAAAAAAACCUCUGGUUUUUACCUUGUAAAACCCCUGGGAGUGAUUUCCAAGCUCCCCAGCAGAGCCUGCCAGUGGCUGCAGCCUGAUUUUAUCGAUAGGGAAUGGCUCCUAUUGAACCAUUCACGUCAGGAUAUGAGCUUUUUUAUCAUCCCCCCCCUUUUUGCCAUCUCUACAGAGAGAAAUCCAUAAAGAUCAACAGGGGACACAUUCCCCUUGACACGGAAACUUCAAAGAGUUUCCUCUCCUCCUCUGGAUGCUUCAGGAUCUGUUUUUCAUCCCGAUGCUUAUUAUUUCCUCCCCCCCAACACAUUUUAAAGCAUCUACUGGACAACGCAGAUGGUCUCUUAAACAGAUAAACUGUAAAUAUACUCCUCUAACAACAUAACCAGCUCUGGGGGGUUGUUUGUCUCCCCCCCCCUUGGAAAAAAAAGGGGAAUGGAUAUCCCUUAAGCCACCUUCCCCCCGUUUUAAACACAGAUGUUGAGCGUAAUUUCAGCUGGGCUGGUAAGAACAAUGAAAGCAGGGGAUUAAUGCGCUUACACGGGCCGCCCGGCGCAUUAAUAUCCCAAUCUCCUUGUUUAUUGUGAUAUAUCAACCCUAAUCCGGCCAGAAAUAAGCCCGGGUUCAUUAAAGGAAAGCCAGUGGAUUACCAGAGGAGUUAGGAUGAUAAAAUCUGGUGUUUCCUCCCGUCAGGAAUAGCUGGGAUCGGGGUUAACACUCGUGGAGGGGGAAAUUCCACAUUUCUCAGGUGUUCCUGACCCCGUGUGCUCCUUCCUCUGCUCCUCCUCGGCCUGCAGGAGCUGAGCAGAGCCUUAAAAAGGGCUCCACUGACCCCAAACUUAUAAUUUUUAAUCUUAUUAUUACCAAUGUGGCCUCUCAUCCCUUAGGAAAUCUUACUCAAGCCACUCGGGGAAGGCAAAUCACUUGGGGUUUCAGGAUGGGACCCUCCAUCAUCCCUACCCCGGAAUUCCCUGGGUGAACUUUGGAAUAGUCAGCCCUUAAAAAGCAAUGUUAUUUUUUUUUUUUAGCUUUUCCUCUUUUUUUUCCCCUCACUUCCAUUCUUUGAAAUGCAAAUUUUGAGCCAGCAUCCUCGUUUUUCUGUAAAUAAUUCAGAGGCUGCACCAAAGCGAGGUGGAAGCCCCCAGUAACGUUCCUCCCUCCCAGCACAAAUCCAAGAUCUGGCUCCAAAUCCCAAACUCCCUAAAGCUGGACUGAGAGACCAUUCCCACUUGGAGACAAAGGAGGGAGUUGCCCAAAGAGGCCACCAGAAGAGCUGGGAUGGCAACCUAAAGCCCAAACCCCCCCUCCUGCUCACCAGACGAGGAGGUACAGGGGGUGCCAGGCUGAAUAUGAUGAUAUUUUAUUCAACUUUGUUCUUUUUAUCAGUCAAAAAGCAGCUUCUCCGUCCGCGGGUCUCUUUUUAUUGCUAUUUCUAGGCCUGGCUAAAGGAGGAUUUAGUUCAAAGGCCACUUUGUGAAGCAGAAGGUUGAGGAAGCUGGGUAAUUUGGGCAGGAAUCAGUCGAUAUGUGGGCUAAUACAGACUUGCCUUUGUAACCCACUUCAGAAAAGCAAUUUACUGCUGGGCUCAGCCCCUUUUCCAAUCGCCUGGCGCUAAAGCACGGGGCAAAUUUCGAUGAAUUUGGAGGGUUUGGGCAUUUUUUUCCACCAUAGGAGCCACUGGAUUUCCUUUGUGCUUCUGGUGCAGGCAGCUCUGGAGCCUGACAAGCCCUCCCAGGCGUGAAAAGGAAGGGCAAAAGUGCAAGGAUUUUAUAAAUAUCCCUCUCUGGGCUCCGAGGCAGCGGCAGAGCACGUAUAUGGGCUGGAAACCAAAGUGAUUUUUAGCCUCCUCGCUGCCCCAGAGCCCACCUGUCAGUAAGUGGGAUCAAUGAAGUGCUGGACAGCUGUAUUUCUGACUUCCAACCCCAGGGAUGGUAAUAAAGUGUGUUUCCUUCACCCCA
RNAcentral lists this long non-coding RNA (3343 nucleotides) under Calidris pugnax (ruff). RNAcentral describes it as "lncRNA (ENSCPUG00000007782.1)". The record is from RNAcentral. Lineage: Eukaryota; Metazoa; Chordata; Aves; Charadriiformes; Scolopacidae.